GACGAACGCUGGCGGCGUGCUUAACACAUGCAAGUUGAACGGUCCGGCAUGGAAGCUUGCUGAAGUGUCGGGUAGUAGCGAACGGGUGAGUAACGCGUAGGUAACCUGCCUUGUAGCGGGGGAUAACUAUUGGAAACGAUAGCUAAUACCGCAUAACAAUGGAUGACACAUGUCAUUUAUUUGAAAGGGGCAAUUGCUCCACUACAAGAUGGACCUGCGUUGUAUUAGCUAGUAGGUGAGGUAACGGCUCACCUAGGCGACGAUACAUAGCCGACCUGAGAGGGUGAUCGGCCACACUGGGACUGAGACACGGCCCAGACUCCUACGGGAGGCAGCAGUAGGGAAUCUUCGGCAAUGGGGGCAACCCUGACCGAGCAACGCCGCGUGAGUGAAGAAGGUUUUCGGAUCGUAAAGCUCUGUUGUAAGUCAAGAACGAGUGUGAGAGUGGAAAGUUCACACUGUGACGGUAGCUUACCAGAAAGGGACGGCUAACUACGUGCCAGCAGCCGCCGUAA
RNAcentral lists this ribosomal RNA (515 nucleotides) under uncultured bacterium. RNAcentral's name for it is "partial 16S ribosomal RNA". It matches the Rfam family "Bacterial small subunit ribosomal RNA", at positions 28 to 523 of the family's 1533-position model. The record is from RNAcentral.